RNAcentral lists this ribosomal RNA (517 nucleotides) under Ptyas dhumnades. RNAcentral describes it as "partial large subunit ribosomal RNA". It matches the Rfam family "Bacterial large subunit ribosomal RNA", at positions 1812 to 2599 of the family's 2925-position model. The record is from RNAcentral. Lineage: Eukaryota; Metazoa; Chordata; Lepidosauria; Squamata; Colubridae.
AACAUAACCUUUAGCCAAACAAAUAUUAAAGGCAACGCCUGCCCAGUGAACAAUUAAACGGCCGCGGUACCCUAACCGUGCAAAGGUAGCGUAAUCAUUUGUCUACUAAUUAUAGACCUGUAUGAAAGGCAAAAUGAGGGCCUGACUGUCUCUUAUAAUAAAUCAAUUAAACUGAUCUUCUAGUAAAAAAGCUAGAAUUCCAACAUAAGACCAGAAGACCCUGUGAAGCUUAAACUAAACCAUUAAACCCAAUAAUGACUACUUUCGGUUGGGGCGACCUUGGAAAAAAAAAGAACUUCCAAACAACGUGACUAUACUCACACUCUAAACAGGCUUACAAGCCAAUAAACGACCCAGCAAAGCUGACAAAUGAACCAAGUUACUCCAGGGAUAACAGCGCAAUCUUCUUCAAGAGCCCAUAUCAAAAAGAAGGUUUACGACCUCGAUGUUGGAUCAGGACAUCCUAAUGGUGCAGCCGCUAUUAAGGGUUCGUUUGUUCAACGAUUAAUAGUCCUAC